AACGAACGCUGGCGGCAGGCCUAACACAUGCAAGUCGAGCGGGGACUUCGGUCCUAGCGGCGGACGGGUGAGUAACGCGUGGGAACGUGCCCUUUGCUUCGGAAUAGCCCCUGGAAACGGGGAGUAAUACCGGAUGUGCUCGAGAGAGGAAAGAUUUUUCGGCAAAGGAUCGGCCCGCGUUGGAUUAGGUAGUUGGUGGGGUAAUGGCCUACCAAGCCGACGAUCCAUAGCUGGUUUGAGAGGAUGAUCAGCCACACUGGGACUGAGACACGGCCCAGACUCCUACGGGAGGCAGCAGUGGGGAAUCUUAGACAAUGGGCGCAAGCCUGAUCUAGCCAUGCCGCGUGAGCGAUGAAGGCCUUAGGGUUGUAAAGCUCUUUCGUGGGGGAAGAUAAUGACGGUACCCCAAGAAGAAGCCCCGGCUAACUCCGUGCCAGCAGCCGCGGUAAU
This 450-nucleotide ribosomal RNA is filed under the name uncultured bacterium. RNAcentral describes it as "bacterial SSU rRNA". It matches the Rfam family "Bacterial small subunit ribosomal RNA", at positions 29 to 524 of the family's 1533-position model. The record is from RNAcentral.